Cannabis sativa is the source of this 582-nucleotide long non-coding RNA. RefSeq lists it as uncharacterized. The transcript is spliced from 2 exons. Lineage: Eukaryota; Viridiplantae; Streptophyta; Magnoliopsida; Rosales; Cannabaceae. The record is from RefSeq and is a predicted model, not a curated record.
UUUUUAAUUGUAAAGCUAGUUUCUUAUAUAUUCUUACGAAGAAACGGACCUUGAUAACAUAUGGAGCGACUGUGUAGAGAAUAAAGCCAGAAAGAGUAUAGACAACAAAAACUAAUACCUGAAGACAAAAUCAAAUAAUAAAGAAUAGUCGAAGUCAAGGAAAGUGUUUUGAGAAAUGAAAAAUAUUUUCACUGGUUUUAGGCACAAUCUUAGGAAAUCAUUGUGCUUCUUAUGUAUGUUUGCUCAACAAAUAAUGCAGAGAUUUCAUUGUCAACGUUUCUGGGAAAAAAGCUAAUGUUGGUGCUGAUGUUCGAACCGAGUUUAGAUCAUUGCAGGUCUUCUUUUCCAGUUGAUUUUGCCAGAAUUAAUAGUUGUAUUUUUCUCGUUUUGGUUUCAUUUUGGUUGUUUUGCGGUUUUGAAAUGAGCGCGUAUUUUCAUCUUCAUGGUUCGCUCUGUACAGCUGAAGGCUUAGUGCAUGUGGUAUUUUUGUAAAUAUUUGUAUGUGGACUGUAUAAAUGUUUAAUGGGCCGGCCCAAAGUAUUUUUGUAAUUUUUUUUCCUUUUUUGUAUUUUUCUGUUUUUU